AUUGAACGCUGGCGGCAGGCUUAACACAUGCAAGUCGAACGGUAACGGGAAGAAAGCUUGCUUUCUUUGCUGACGAGUGGCGGACGGGUGAGUAAUGCUUGGGAAUCUGUUUCAUGGAGGGGGAUAACUACGGGAAACUGUAGCUAAUACCGCGUAAUAUCGAGAGAUUAAAUGUGUGGGACCCCAAGGCCACAUGCCAUGAAGUGAGCCCAAGUGGGAUUAGAUAGUUGGUGAGGUAAUGGCUCACCAAGUCGGCGAUCUCUAGCUGGUCUGAGAGGAUGACCAGCCACACUGGGACUGAGACACGGCCCAGACUCCUACGGGAGGCAGCAGUGGGGAAUAUUGCACAAUGGGCGCAAGCCUGAUGCAGCCAUGCCGCGUGAAUGAAGAAGGCCUUCGGGUUGUAAAGUUCUUUCGGUGGUGAGGAAGGUUGAUACGUUAAUAGCGUAUUGAUUUGACGUUAGCCACAGAAGAAGCACCGGCUAACUCCGUGCCAGCAGCCGCGGUAAUACGGAGGGUGCGAGCGUUAAUCGGAAUAACUGGGCGUAAAGGGCACGCAGGCAGUGACUUAAGUGAGGUGUGAAAGCCCUGGGCUUAACCUAGGAAUUGCAUUUCAUACUGGGUCGCUAGAGUAUUUUAGGGAGGGGUAGAAUUCCACGUGUAGCGGUGAAAUGCGUAGAGAUGUGGAGGAAUACCGAAGGCGAAGGCAGCCCCUUGGGAAUAUACUGACGCUCAUGUGCGAAAGCGUGGGGAGCAAACAGG
RNAcentral lists this ribosomal RNA (762 nucleotides) under uncultured bacterium. RNAcentral's name for it is "bacterial SSU rRNA". It matches the Rfam family "Bacterial small subunit ribosomal RNA", at positions 28 to 776 of the family's 1533-position model. The record is from RNAcentral.